This 542-nucleotide ribosomal RNA is filed under the name Pyrenochaeta sp. Sigrf25. Its description in RNAcentral is "eukaryotic LSU rRNA". The stretch from base 183 to 336 matches the Rfam family "5.8S ribosomal RNA". Lineage: Eukaryota; Fungi; Ascomycota; Dothideomycetes; Pleosporales; Cucurbitariaceae. The record is from RNAcentral.
GGGCCUGCGGAAGGAUCAUUAUCAAUUUUACAGUCCUAGGAUAGGGGUAAAAACCCUAUCCUAUGCUGUUCAACCCUUUGUCUUUUGCGUACUGUAUGUUUCCUCGGCGGGUUCGCCCGCCGAUAGGACACUUCAAAACCUUUUGUAAUUGCAAUCAGCGUCAGAAAAACUAUAAUAGUUACAACUUUCAACAACGGAUCUCUUGGUUCUGGCAUCGAUGAAGAACGCAGCGAAAUGCGAAAAGUAGUGUGAAUUGCAGAAUUCAGUGAAUCAUCGAAUCUUUGAACGCACAUUGCGCCCCUUGGUAUUCCAUGGGGCAUGCCUGUUCGAGCGUCAUUUGUACCCUCAAGCUCUGCUUGGUGUUGGGUGUUUGUCCCGCCUUCGCGCGUGGACUCGCCUUAAAGUGAUUGGCAGCCGGAAUGAUUCUGGGGAACGCAGCACAACUGCAGCCUCCAUCUCACGCCGAGCGUCCAGUAAGCCUAUUUUCCACGUUUGACCUCGGAUCAGGUAGGGAUACCCGCUGAACUUAAGCAUAUCAAGAG